ACAAAAAAACAGUUAUCCAAUGUUUGAACUGAAAAAUGGGGUGUCAGUACAGAGUAAAGGUUCAGGCCACCAACUCUGGUAAUCUGAUUCUAAUAGCAGUCUUUGGUUUCAAACUUUGUAUUAAUCGAAAUCGGCACGCCCUUCUCUAAAACAUGCAGGCGUUGAGGCAUAUAUGUCCUUGCAAUCACAAACCACAAUUGAACACAGAAAGACUGAAUUGAACAGCGAUCCAAUUGAACUCUGAAGCCCCUGAACGCUGAACCAGAUAAGCAAAUCAAUCUGUUUUCAGUAGAAAAAACCCCAGCAUCUGAACUCUGAAGCACUGAACGGUGAAGCAGACAAGCAUCAAUCAAUUUUCAGUUGAAAACCUAGCGUUCUCUCUCUGCAUCAUACUAAGUUCAUAACAGCGCAGAACUAAUCAAGUAUUAUCCGGUGACCAACACUGACAAACCACAGCUGAAUACAGAGGUGAUCACUGGUUCAGUCUCUAGAACGAUUCAACCGAACUCUGAUGCAAAUUCUGAAAACAAAUAGCCUACUCUCUGAACACUGAACUUAACCCAAUAGGGCAUCACACAAUCUUCAGUUGGGACAGUCCCUGAACACCCAAGGAAGGAACCAGCAAUGGAGCCGUGCGUACUUGGAAGAAGAUCUCAUUCCUGCUGUGACCUUGAACUCCAAACUCUGAAUUGCAUGACGUACUGAAGCAACGAACACAUCUGCCACUAAUCUGCUCUACAACUUGCCUAAUGAGACCGCAGUGGGAGUGGAGUUUGCCUGUUCCAAGUCAGAGCUCGUCCUCGGGGGCUUUCAGCUGACCGUCCGAUCAAGCUUCCCGGUUCCUCAGCAAGUAUCUUAGUCAACUUGAAUUUCCGAGUCUCAGAUGAGAUGCCCUUUCGGCCGUCGCCGCUGCAGCUGCGGCGGCUGGCUCCAUGCCACCAUUUGGAGGGCGCGGGAAUGCUCGACGCGCCCGCGGGGAAGGAGGGGCGGAAAGGGAUGCAGGAUUGCAGGGAUGCUCGGAUGGUAAUGGAGCAUCCACCAUUGCUGCAGCUGAUGGAAUGGAGUGCUUGAGCUGUGCUUUGAGCGGGAGCGAAAGGAACUCUUCUGCUACAGUCUGAGCGGGGCGAUGAGUGGGGUGGGGCUUCGUGUUUCCGCUCGUGACGGAAGCUGGUGGCGGCAGCGGCGGCGCUAGAGCCGGAGAAGGAACCGACGAGGGGGAAGAGAACCAAACCAGGGGGCAAUUUGGUUAUUUCCUAUCCAAAACGAGGGGCUAUAUGUAAAUAAUCGGAUCGCGAUUAUGAAUCGCGAUCCAAACCAAGGGGCUAUAUGUAAUCGCGACCCGAAUUAGGGGGCACGUUGUAAAUAUCGAUGGCCGGCGACAGGGCACCCGGCUAGGUCCUCGGGCCUCGGCGACCUCUACCUGCCCCGGCGAUAUGCAUCCGGGCUUUCUUCCCCAGAGUAACGCCCCAGCUGUUGUCCCCGGCCUAGCGCGCGGGGCGCUCCAGGCACUACCUAGCUCCAGCGCUGGAUGGAUGCGGGGAUGCUCGGAAGGCGAUGGUGUCCCCAGACUCCACCGAUUGGCGGCCCCGCGACGGGGAGGAACGAAGCGUCUCGAUCGACCACGCCACCAAUGUUCCUGGUUCAAUUCACCCCAUCCUAUGUUAAUUGUUCAAUGAGGAACACAUUAUUAGAUGAGGUGUUUUUUCCAUAAGUCUCAAGUGGAAUAAUGUGAUCUUGGGAUCAGGAUAGUCAGCUGCUCUGGAUCAUAUGUUAGAGAGGCGUUUCUUUUCUCAAAGUCAGAAGUGGAAUAGUAUGAUCUGGGGAUCAAGAUGGCCAGUUGCUCUGGGCAUAUGCUAGAAUGGUCAGCACAAGAACACAGGAGACCUACCAACUGCAUGUUUCAGGCCUUAGCCAAAAUAAUCAGAGAGCAAACGCUCAGUAUGCGUGGAGGUGCCGCUCCGCUGGAGCUCAAUUAACUUCUCUGUACAGCUUGCAAUGAUGUCAAGCGCAAGUAUUUUUUUUGCUUUUCUCGCUGCUGUGUAAUGGGACAAGCCGUACAAUUAGCAAUCUGGGACAAGCCGUACAAUUAGCAAUCUUCUGUUGUUCUUCAUCAAUGAGAAAAUAGCUUAGAGUCCAAAGAUAGUCUUGCCCUUUAUGGAAUAAUUAUAGCCGUGUCACCUUGGGAAAUCGGCGUACGAG
Long non-coding RNA from Panicum hallii, 2199 nucleotides. RefSeq lists it as uncharacterized. The record is from RefSeq and is a predicted model, not a curated record. The transcript is spliced from 5 exons. NCBI's taxonomy places the organism in Eukaryota, Viridiplantae, Streptophyta, Magnoliopsida, Poales, Poaceae.